GCAUCUCUGCCAACUCUAGAGAGUUUAGAUAUCUACUUAUUUAUAUCUACAUCUAUCUAUAUUUAUAUUAAACAAAAGUGACAGGACAUGGUAAUAGAUGCAAUGUAUAGGUGAAUUAGAGAGAGGUAUCAAGCUUGACUCCCAGGUUUCUGAUAGAAUGGCUGAAUUGAUGGCAAUACCUUUCACUGAGAGGAAACAUUGGCAGAAAACCAGUUUUGAAUGAAGAGGAUGCUUCCUUUUCCUUCUGACAUGAGUGGAACCAGCCAUAGGCCCUCAUCAGAGGCAGAUGCUGGCACUUUGCUUCUCGUACAGCCUGCAGAAUGGAGGAGCUCGCUGUUACCUGAAGGGAUGGACUGGUCGGUGGAAUGUCCGGUGCCGUGAGUUACCUGCUCAGCCCUGGAGCAGGGGUCAAAGCUGGGCGGAGCUGGACAGCCAGUCUCAGCCUCAGGUACUCCAGUGACAAGCAGCAGCACCAGUGCUGAUGAGGGUAGCAGGGAAAACUGGUGAAAUGUGCCGAGGUCUCUCCAGAGGUGGUAGGCGGUUGCGCCAGCUUCACAUCCUGGAUAGGCAGGAACGUUUCCCUAUCAUACUCCUGUCCCGGGUCUCAUGUGUCUCAGUUCAAACAGACACUGCCGUCUAUCUUCAAGCUGCAAUGAAGCUGAGAGCCACAGAAAACACCUGUACCAUGGUUUCAGGGAGGAGUCUCUUCCCUCAGCCGAAAACAGACAGCUUUGCUGGUCAUCUGUUCUCCACUGCGAGGACGCUGCCACUCAGUGUGGAGAGAGGAAGGGGUUCUGCCUAUGGUGCAAGAAGGUCGGACUCGGCAGUUAAUACUCUUGGAUAAUGUAUUUAAGGAUGCUUAAGAAAUUGCAACAGCCAGUUCAACCUUCAGCAACCACCAUACUGAUCAGUAGUCAUCAACAUUGAGACGAGACUGUACACCAGCAAAAAGAUCCCAACUCAAUGAAGGCUCAGAUGAUUUUAGCAUUUUUUUAGCAAUAAAGCAUUUUUAAAUUAAACUAUAUACAUUGUUGUUUUAGACAAGUUUUUGCACAUUCAGAAUACAGUAAAGUGUAAACAUGACUUUUAUAUACACUGGGGAAACCAAAAAAUUUGUGUGACUUACUUUAUUGCAAUAUUUGUUUUAUUGUGCUGAUCUGGAGCUAAAUAUAUCUGAGAUAUGCUUGUACUGAUGAUUAUUUUAACACCAAGAUAUUUUAAAAUUCAUUAAAUAAAUGUUUAUUUAAAUAGACCUCUAGCAUACAUUUACUGGUAACUAAAGGCUUUGUUAACAAAGGGAAAUACUAAAUUAUUAAGGUUUUGCAUGACUUUGAAAAUUUCUAUAUUGAAUUAUAAAUACUAUGGAAUUAUAGCCUUUUUUUUGUUUUUUAAAUCAAAGAUUUAAAUUUUUCUCAAAUGCAUCUUUAUGAUUGAAGUCUGCUUAUCAUUAACAUUUGAUAUCAGAAGCACUAAUUCUUUGUUGUAGCCUUGUUUCAUCAAAAGCUGAUCAACUAUGUCUGUAUGAGUCUGUCAGAGAGCUGAAAAAGUAAUCAAAGGUCAA
This 1561-nucleotide long non-coding RNA is filed under the name Homo sapiens (human). RNAcentral's name for it is "HSALNT0328997". The record is from RNAcentral. Lineage: Eukaryota; Metazoa; Chordata; Mammalia; Primates; Hominidae.